CCAAGAUGGGCCAAACAAGUGUUCUUUAAAUAGUGAAGUCUCCCUCUUUGGAGAUCUCCAAGAGCUGCCUGGUUAUGGUAUGGUAGCCUGCUCUGGGUGGCCCUGCUUGAGCAAGGAUUGGACAAGAUGUCCUCCAGAGGGCCCUGCCAACCUCAGCCAUUCUGCCUGUGUAAUUUUGUGAUUCUGUGAAAUUAGAUCAGUAUAUAGCAAUCUUUAACAAAUUUGAGGAAAACUUUCAUGUUCAGUAAACUGCUAUUUUCUCAUAAUACUGUUUUGUUAGGAACUCUGUGCAUGCACUAGCAACGAUUCUUGAAGAACUUUGGUUUAGCUACAUGGAAAUAAGUAUUUCUAGGGGUUUUCAUGGGAUUCUUGCUGCCGGGGAGAGCUCAAGAACUCCUUUUACUCUUACUUACCUUUUAUUUCUUUUACUCUUUAUUGUACAUGAAAGAAUGCUCUUCUCUCUCACUGGGCUAACGAAGAUUUAUAAUGUUUAUUCAUUUCCUUUUUCCUCUUAACCUGAACCGGAACAGUUUGCCUUACUCAGAUUUCCAGAGGCAUGUCUACCUCACUCGCUCAAAAUGCAUUCCCACAGGGGCAGACAAGGGUGCAUUGUGUCGCCAGGCAAUCCACGCCAGGGCCUUGCGUGCAGUCUGUGGGCAGCCUGCCCAAACAUGCCUGGCAGGGUCCUAACCACCUACUUACAUAUUAACACCACCUAAGAAUGCCUGAUGUGUUUGGGCCCACAAGGAUAUUGCAAGUGCUACAGAAGUGUGUUUUCUGCUCAUGCAUUCACUGAGCACAGAGGCAGAUCUAGCCCAGGGGGCAAUCAUGGGACACCCCUGGGAGGAAGAUUUAUUCAUCCUCUCAGGGGUGAAAGGACAUUUCCAGCAUGGCAAAUCUCAGGCAUUUGACAGUGAGGAGGGUCAUUGUGGUAGAGGAAAUAUUUUUAUCUGGGCGUCAGGAAAUGGUGGUCUGGCUAGUGACUGCAGUGGUGUGGAUGGUUACAUGAACAGCAUUUACUCAGGGGCAAAGCAUGCCAUCGUUUACCUCUGCUCCAGAAGUCCUGGACUACAAGAACAAAUCAACAUCAAUGCCACCUGGAAAUAUCCAUUGAGGAAGGAUUGUGGAGUCUAGUACCCUGAAACAACCCUUCAACCUGAAGCAAGGUUGCCACAGAACUUUAGAGGUGGAAGUGUUUGAGAAUUCAAAGACAUCCUGCACAAAUCCUUUCAAAUGCUGUUGUUGUUUUGAUUCUUCAGCCCAAGUAAGGAUGAUACAUGUCUUGCUUUCAGUUCACAUGACAAAGAUAUGACAUUGUUGUCACUGAUCCUUAAGAAAACUAUAUGAGUCAAAUUACAGUAGAGACAAAAGUUGGAACAAAGCCCUCUUUCUUGUUGAAACAGUUUGCUGUUUUACUGUCUUUUGCUCAGCUGGUGGUACUGUAUGUAGUCUACAAGUAGAUUAAAUACAUUUUAGGUGCAUGAAAGAAAAGUUACUAUUUAAAAACAUAAGAUUCCUUUAGGAAAAUAAUUGGAGGCAGUAAUAGUCAUUAACUCUGAAAUACAUUAUUCUUCCCACAGUUCCUCAUAUAAAGCAAACUCUGUUGCAUGCCACAGUAUUAAACAAUAUAUGAGUUAAAUAUCUUCUUCAAAGAUGCAUGGCCUAAAACAUGAAAAAUUAGAGUAUAUGCAAAUCAUCAUAAAGGACUGACUUUACUGACCAUUUCUUUGUGUUUGGGGGAUAGAUUUCUGCAUGGCAUAAUAUUUCCACUUGCAUUGGUUUCCUGGCAUGAAAAUGUUUAUUGCACUCAUUAGCUAAGAGGAUGUCGGCACUGGUCCAAUGAACACAGAUCUGCCUUCUGAUUUCAGCCAUUAAAUUGCAAUGGGAUUCAUAGGCUUAACAUUGUGGGUGUGAGAAUAAUAAAAUGGAACUCCAUCUUUAGCCCA
Long non-coding RNA from Anser brachyrhynchus (Pink-footed goose), 1946 nucleotides. Lineage: Eukaryota; Metazoa; Chordata; Aves; Anseriformes; Anatidae. The record is from Ensembl.